RNAcentral lists this ribosomal RNA (376 nucleotides) under uncultured bacterium. RNAcentral describes it as "bacterial SSU rRNA". It matches the Rfam family "Bacterial small subunit ribosomal RNA", at positions 524 to 898 of the family's 1533-position model. The record is from RNAcentral.
UACGUAGGUGGCAAGCGUUACUCGGAAUUACUAGGCGUAAAGCGCAGGUAGGUGGUUGGAUAAGUCCGUAAUGAAAUCUCCCGGCUUAACUGGGAGGGGUUUAGGGAUACUAUCCGACUCGAGUGUGGGAGAGAUAGCUGGAAUUCCUGGUGUAGCGGUGAAAUGCGUAGAUAUCAGGAGGAACACCUAUGGCGAAAGCAGGCUAUUGGCCCAAUACUGACACUGAGCUGCGAAAGCUAGGGGAGCAAACAGGAUUAGAUACCCUGGUAGUCCUAGCCAUAAACGAUGUAGACCAGAUGUGGGGGGUAUCGACCCCCUCUGCGUCGACCCUAACGGAUUAAGUCUACCGCCUGGGGAGUACGGCCGCAAGGUUGAA